AUUGAACGCUGGCGGUAUGCUUAACACAUGCAAGUCGAACGGCAGCACGAGAGAGCUUGCUCUCUUGGUGGCGAGUGGCGGACGGGUGAGUAACGCGUAGGAAUCUGCCUAGUAGUGGGGGACAACUCGGGGAAACUCGAGCUAAUACCGCAUACGCCCUACGGGGGAAAGCGGGGGAUCUUCGGACCUCGCGCUAUUAGAUGAGCCCGCGUUGGAUUAGCUUGUUGGUGAGGUAAUGGCUCACCAAGGCGACGAUCCAUAGCUGGUCUGAGAGGACGAUCAGCCACACUGGGACUGAGUCACGGCCCAGACUCCUACGGGAGGCAGCAGUGGGGAAUAUUGGACAAUGGGCGAAAGCCUGAUCCAGCAAUACCGCGUGUGUGAAGAAGGCCUGCGGGUUGUAAAGCACUUUCAAUUGGGAAGAAAAGCUUAGGGUUAAUAACCCUGAGUCUUGACGUUACCUUUAGAAGAAGCACCGGCUAACUCCGUGCCAGCAGCCGCGGUAAUACGGAGGGUGCAAGCGUUAAUCGGAAUUACUGGGCGUAAAGCGCGCGUAGGUGGUUUUGUAAGUCAGAUGUGAAAGCCCUGGGCUCAACCUGGGAAUUGCAUUUGAUACUGCAUGACUAGAGUAUAGUAGAGGGAAGCGGAAUUCCGGGUGUAGCGGUGAAAUGCGUAGAUAUCCGGAGGAACAUCAGUGGCGAAGGCGGCUUCCUGGACUAAUACUGACACUGAGGUGCGAAAGCGUGGGUAGCAAACAGGAUUAGAUACCCUGGUAGUCCACGCCGUAAACGAUGUCAACUAGCCGUUGGACUCAUUAUAAGGGUUUAGUGGCGAAGCUAACGCGAUAAGUUGACCGCCUGGGGAGUACGGCCGCCAGGAUA
RNAcentral lists this ribosomal RNA (881 nucleotides) under uncultured bacterium. Its description in RNAcentral is "bacterial SSU rRNA". It matches the Rfam family "Bacterial small subunit ribosomal RNA", at positions 28 to 896 of the family's 1533-position model. The record is from RNAcentral.